UGGGGAAUCUUGCGCAAUGCGCGAAAGCGUGACGCAGCAACGCCGCGUGCGGGAAGACGGCCUUCGGGUUGUAAACCGCUUUCAGUUGGGACGAAGCCUUUGCGGUUAAUAGCCGUGGAAGGUGACGGUACCUUCAGAAGAAGCCACGGCUAACUACGUGCCAGCAGCCGCGGUAAUACGUAGGGCGCAAGCGUUGUCCGGAAUUAUUGGGCGUAAAGAGCUCGUAGGCGGUCUGUCGCGUCGGAUGUGAAAGCCCGGGGCUUAACCCCGGGUCUGCAUUCGAUACGGGCAGACUAGAGUGUGGUAGGGGAGAUCGGAAUUCCUGGUGUAGCGGUGAAAUGCGCAGAUAUCAGGAGGAACACCGGUGGCGAAGGCGGAUCUCUGGGCCAUUACUGACGCUGAGGAGCGAAAGCGUGGGGAGCGAACAGGAUUAGAUACC
This 439-nucleotide ribosomal RNA is filed under the name uncultured bacterium. RNAcentral's name for it is "bacterial SSU rRNA". It matches the Rfam family "Bacterial small subunit ribosomal RNA", at positions 355 to 786 of the family's 1533-position model. The record is from RNAcentral.